UACGUAGGUGGCAAGCGUUGUCCGGAUUUACUGGGCGUAAAGAGCGCGCAGGCGGUCGUUCAAGUCGCGUGUGAAAGCCCCCGGCUCAACUGGGGAGGGUCACGCGAUACUGAUCGACUCGAAGGCAAGAGAGGGUAGUGGAAUUCCCGGUGUAGUGGUGAAAUGCGUAGAUAUCAGGAGGAACACCUAUUGCGAAGGCGGCUUUCUGGGACGGUACUGACGCUGAGACGCGAAAGCGUGGGGAGCGAACAGG
This 253-nucleotide ribosomal RNA is filed under the name uncultured bacterium. Its description in RNAcentral is "partial 16S ribosomal RNA". It matches the Rfam family "Bacterial small subunit ribosomal RNA", at positions 524 to 776 of the family's 1533-position model. The record is from RNAcentral.